This 245-nucleotide long non-coding RNA is filed under the name Mytilus galloprovincialis (Mediterranean mussel). The record is from RNAcentral. Lineage: Eukaryota; Metazoa; Mollusca; Bivalvia; Mytilida; Mytilidae.
AAGGUUUACAAUAAAAAUGUAUACGCAAAAUAUAUACCUAUUCUCGCGACAUUCUAGCACCUAAGGUAUUUCCAAAAUUGCCUCUGUAUACACCACCGAAAGCAGCUUCCAACAACAGCUAAGAUAAUGAUUGUACGUUCUUCUAUUAUCUUUAUUCUAGUCACAACUCGUACAAGACAACCCUAUUCCAGCUGUAUGACAAACAUGUCAUUUUAAUCCAAAUCCUCGCUAUAUCCACAAUUUCU